Molecule: transfer RNA, 63 nt
Filed under: Anomolachesilla palaciosi
Lineage: Eukaryota; Metazoa; Arthropoda; Insecta; Psocodea; Lachesillidae
Description: tRNA-Phe
Source: RNAcentral
AUUUACAUAGCUUAUAAAUUAGAGCAUAGUAUUGAAGCUACUAAGGAAAAAUUUUUGUGAAUA